UAUAUAAUUCGCUCCUUUGUAACCAGACCGAAAUUUAAACCGGUUCACUAUUGGAACACUACGUCCCGCGUCCUCCAGCGGUCGCCCAGUUGCCCGUCAAACACCCUCACCACACGUUUACCCGCUGAGCACCUUCCACGUUUCAACAUCUUCAUCCUUUACGUCAUUAUCCUGAUUAGCCGGCGGCAAAUCCCUAUCUUCUUAUCUGUAUCCCUCCACAUACAAACAUCACCUCCCAAAAUCUAAAAAAGAGACGGAGAGCGAGCGAGCGAGCGAGCGAGAGAGUCCUAAGUCACAAACUCGCGUAACCAACCGCUUCGCAUUUUAAACUGCCUCCCUCCCGUGUCCCGCAUUAUUAUAUAUGUAUAAUCUAAUCUGAUUUUUGUUGUUGAAAAUUUUCGAAUUUUAAUUUCAAUUCUCAAAGCGAAGCAAUUCAAUUGAAUUCAAUUCAUAGUGGAUUUGAAUUCCUUCUAUUCGUUUCCUUCCCUAAAUCCACUUUGUCUCUCUCUAAAAUUCUGGCCCUAUUCAACCUAAAAUCUUUUAACGGAAUCAAUAGUCCCUUCUAUUUCACGCAAUUUCUCUGUAACCGUUUUAUAUUGCUUUUUCUCAGGUAUACGUUUCUUUUCUCUCUCAACAAAACAUGAAAAAACUUCUCACUAUGAUCUGCUCGGAUCUGUUUCUCUGUUCAUUCUGAAUUUCCCUCUCCUAUGCAUCAUCUUUGUUGUAUUUCCACCGUCUCCGACCAUUCCUCGGCCCAUUCCUUACCCAUGGCAAUCACGUCUAGAUCCGACCCGAUUACCCGAUCCCUCUCUGCCAAUAACAACCACCAGGCUCAUUUAUUGAACCAUCCCAACCACCACCACAACGGCAUCGAUUGUAAUAACGGCAAUAAUAAUCGGCCCAGCCAGAGAGUCUUGGCGGCUGCUUUGGCUGUUAAUACGGUGUCGUUGCCGCGAGAGCAGCAGGUUGAUGUCAGGAUAAAUGAUAUAGUUGGGAAUGGAAUAUCGGGCAUUCUGUAUAAGUGGGUGAAUUACGGGAAAGGCUGGAGGCCGAGAUGGUUCGUUUUGCAGGAUGGUGUGUUAUCGUAUUAUAAGAUUCAUGGGCCCGAUAAGAUCGUCGUUAAUCGAGAGACGGAGAAAGGAUCCAAAGUCAUUGGGGAAGAAUCUAUGAGAAGGAUUUCGAGGCCUAAAAAUGGUAACACUCAGCUCAAGCGCAAUCCAGUCGGCGAAAUCCAUCUCAAGGUGUCAUCGAUCCGUGAGAGCAGAUCAGAUGAUAAGAGGUUCUCGAUAUUCACCGGCACAAAGAGGGUCCAUUUGAGAGCGGAGACGCGGGAGGAUCGUUUGGCGUGGAUGGAGGCAUUGCAGGCAGUGAAGGACAUGUUCCCUCGCAUGUCCAACAGCGAACUAAUGGCUCCGAUAGAUAAAGUGGCCGUCUCAACGGAGAAGUUGAGGCAGCGGCUUCAGGAAGAGGGCGUGAGGGAGGAGGCAAUCCAGGAUUCCGAGCAGCUUAUGAGGAGCGAAUUUGGAUCGCUGCAGAACCAGAUUGUGCUGCUCAAGCAGAAGCAAUGGCUCCUCAUCGACACGCUGCGCCAGUUAGAGACAGAAAAGGUUGACCUGGAAAAUACAGUGGUUGAUGAGAGUCAAAGACAGUUCAAUGAUCAAGAGGCUUCUUCUAUCUUAAGACAAGUCCAGUCCAGUGAAGCAAGUGCAACUGAAUCUGAUGAUGAGAAUGAAAGAAUUGAUGCUGCAGAGGAAGAAACUGAUGAUGAUGAGAAUACCUUCUUUGAUACUCGUGACUUUCUAUCAUCAUGUUCCUUCAAAAGCAGUGGAUCUGAUUUUAGGACAUCAUCUUUCUCUUCUGAUGAUGAAGGGAUUUAUGCAUUUGAAUCAGAAGAUGAUAUCGAUCCUUCCAUUAGACCUGUUGGGAAAAAUUAUCCUUGUGUUAAGCGGCGUAAGAAGUUACCUGACCCAGUUGAAAAAGAAAAAGGUGUUAGCCUUUGGUCAAUGAUCAAGGAUAAUAUUGGGAAGGACCUCACUAAAGUUUGUCUUCCAGUUUACUUUAAUGAACCCCUCUCUUCUCUACAAAAAUGUUUUGAGGAUUUGGAAUACUCGUACCUCCUUGACCGGGCAUAUGAAUGGGGAAGAAGGGGUAAUAGCCUUAUGAGGAUUCUUAAUGUCGCUGCUUUUGCUGUAUCCGGAUAUGCUUCAACUGAAGGAAGAAUUUGCAAACCAUUCAAUCCAUUAUUAGGGGAAACAUAUGAGGCUGACUAUCCAGAUAAAGGCAUUCGAUUUUUCUCUGAGAAGGUCAGUCAUCACCCCAUGAUUGUUGCAUGUCAUUGCGAGGGUACAGGAUGGAAAUUUUGGGGAGAUAGCAAUCUAAAGAGCAAAUUUUGGGGUCGCUCAAUUCAGCUUGAUCCUGUUGGUCUUUUAACUUUGGAAUUUGAUGAUGGAGAAGUUUUUCAAUGGAGCAAGGUUACAACAUCAAUAUACAAUCUUAUAUUGGGCAAACUGUACUGUGAUCACUAUGGUACAAUGCGAAUAGAUGGAAAUCGUGAAUAUUCAUGCAAACUGAAAUUUAAGGAGCAGUCCAUCAUAGACCGAAAUCCUCACCAGGUGCAUGGAACAGUUCAAGACAGGAAUGGUAAAAGAGUGGCAACUCUUUUUGGAAAGUGGGAUGAGAGCAUGCAUUACAUGAAGGAUGACUGCCCUGUGAAGGGAAAAGGAUUUGAAUCUCUAAAAGAUGCCCAUCUGCUUUGGAAGCAAAGCAAGCCUCCUAAAUUUCCCACCAGAUAUAACUUGACACGCUUAGCCAUGACAUUGAAUGAACUCACCCCAGGACUUAAGGAAAAGCUGCCGCCUACAGAUUCUAGGCUUAGGCCCGAUCAAAGAUACUUGGAAAAUGGUGAAUUCGAAAUGGCAAAUUCAGAGAAACUGAGACUCGAGCAGCGGCAACGCCAGGCCCGGAAGAUGCAAGAGAGGGGUUGGAAGCCAAGAUGGUUUGCAAAAGAUAAAGGAAGUGAUUCAUAUCGAUAUAUUGGCGGAUAUUGGGAGGCCAGGCAACAGGGAAAUUGGGAGUCAUGUCCUGAUAUAUUUGGCCAAGUUACUACUGAUCAGGAUUAAAGUUCAAUUGCCAUCAAAUUCUUUUUCAAUUUUUUUGGGGAUAGAGAUAGCGGACAACUGCUGUUGUUUGCAGUUCAGGUGCCCAUGAAAUCCCUACAAGUAAAUUAAGAUCCGUUCCAGAUAUAGCCCAAGCUCGCAAAAUCGCACACUGGUUGGUUUGUGAGAUCACGCUUGGUACACUAUUUGUAUAGUAUCUGACAAGACCAUCCUUCCUUCGUCAAGGUAGAGCCCAAGCUGACAAAAUCGUAACACUGCGUGGUUUGUGAGAUGACGCAAUGGGUGGUAUUUUGUAUUCUGACAAUGACAAUUGAAGAAGAGGAAGAUACCAUUUGCUGCUAACAAAAGUCAUCUUCUUCUGUUUUCUUUUUUUGCA
Hevea brasiliensis (rubber tree) is the source of this 3492-nucleotide RNA transcript. It is a transcript of the gene named oxysterol-binding protein-related protein 1C, with no coding region annotated. NCBI's taxonomy places the organism in Eukaryota, Viridiplantae, Streptophyta, Magnoliopsida, Malpighiales, Euphorbiaceae. The transcript has 11 exons. The record is from RefSeq and is a predicted model, not a curated record.